UAGGGAAUAUUGCGCAAUGGGCGAAAGCUUGACGCAGCAACGCCGCGUGAAGGAUGAAGGCCUUCGGGUCGUAAACUUCUGUCGGGUGGGAAGAAGGUUUAUCGGUUAAGAGCUAAUAAACUUGACGGUACCACCAGAGGAAGCCCCGGCUAACUCCGUGCCAGCAGCCGCGGUAAUACGGAGGGGGCAAGCGUUAUUCGGAUUUAUUGGGCGUAAAGGGCGUGUAGGCGGCUUGAUAAGUCAAAGGUGAAAUCCCUCGGCUCAACCGAGGAACUGCCUUUGAAACUGUCUCGCUAGAGUCCGGGAGAGGGUAGCGGAAUUCCCAGUGUAGCGGUGAAAUGCGUAGAUACUGGGAGGAACACCGGUGGCGAAGGCGGCUACCUGGACCGGUACUGACGCUGAGGCGCGAAAGCUUGGGGAGCAAACAGGAUUAGAUACCCCCGUAGUCC
This 449-nucleotide ribosomal RNA is filed under the name uncultured prokaryote. RNAcentral describes it as "bacterial SSU rRNA". It matches the Rfam family "Bacterial small subunit ribosomal RNA", at positions 355 to 796 of the family's 1533-position model. The record is from RNAcentral.